AUGUGCCUACCCUUGAUAUGUUUCCCAUAUCCAUUAUGUUUUUCAGAUAUAUCGCCCGUGGCGCGCUUUACAGAGGUGGCCGUGGGGGUAACCAAAGAGCGCAAGGAGCAGUGGAAAAGGCUUUACGACGAAUAUCGAGGAGAGAGCACAUCCCUCUACGAUAAGAAGUGCAGCAAAGAAGAGAGAGACGUGGGGUUUACGAAGCUUUACCAGGGGAAAAUAUCAGGUGGUACGGGAGCACCUAAGUUUAGGUGCUACAAGAGCUUCUCGGCCAUUGGAUCUGAAAUCCAACGGUCAUCUACAGAUGCGCUGGACCCGAUUUGCAAUAACAAAUUUCUGGGAGUGUUUUCUGAAUAA
Molecule: ribosomal RNA, 357 nt
Filed under: Triticum aestivum (bread wheat)
Lineage: Eukaryota; Viridiplantae; Streptophyta; Magnoliopsida; Poales; Poaceae
Description: partial small subunit ribosomal RNA
Source: RNAcentral